UUCCCCUUCUCCUCUGCACCCCCUUUCCUGGCCCUCGGGUCAGCAGGGCGGCUGUGCCAGGCCAGGGGGCGGGAAUGUGCUGGGGCAGGUCCCUGCUCUCGCUCUGGCAGGUGAGUCACCCCGUGGGAGUGUGUUGAUGAAUCCAAGGCCCGGCUCUUUGUUUUCGGCUCCUGGGAAUUCACACACUGGGCGCAGACACCCUGGAGAGAUGGGAGUCAGAGGCCUGGGUUCUAAUUCCAACUUCACCACCAUCUGGCUGCUUAAAGCCAUUGUACAGUGGCACGGCGCCCGCGCUCCGUGGGGUGACACGAACCCUGCGGGCCAGACGAAGGACGUUCCUGCGGAGACGGGCGAUGGCAGGGGGAUGAUGAAGAAUGACGAGAGACCCCCAGAUGCCCGCCCCCCGCCCCCCGUCCCGGAGGUGGCUGGAGAAGGGCAACGCUUGAACCCAGGCCUCCUGAUCCAGGGCCGUGUUCUUCCCCGCCCACCUCCCGGACCAGCGCAUGGCCUGUGAGCCGAGACCCCCUCGUUGGACGGAGCCGGAGGAGACGGGGAGCUGAUGCGAGCCGUCCGGCGGGAGAGGAAAGCAAGAGGAGGCCGAGAUCAGAAACAAGUUCAUGUCCGGCCUGAGGACUCUGUUAGACACGGGCGAGUAAGGAAUCGUACGCUGUCACUGAAUGUAGCUGUCAGUGUACCGACAGGAGAAAUGCUCAGAACACACCAGAGGGAAAAACAGGUGUCACACGGUCCGAGGCCGUGCUGUCUCCCUGGUGGAG
Myotis daubentonii (Daubenton's bat) is the source of this 776-nucleotide long non-coding RNA. RefSeq lists it as uncharacterized. Lineage: Eukaryota; Metazoa; Chordata; Mammalia; Chiroptera; Vespertilionidae. The record is from RefSeq and is a predicted model, not a curated record.